GGGCUCACACAAGCGGUGGAGGAUGUGGCUUAAUUCGAGGCUACGCGAAGAACCUUAUCCUAGUCUUGACAUGCUUGGAUUAACCCCCAUGAAAGUGGGGCCACGCCUUCGGGUGGAACAAGCACAGGUGCUGCAUGGCUGUCGUCAGCUCGUGUCGUGAGAUGUUGGUUAAGUCCCGCAACGAGCGCAACCCUCGUCCUUAGUUGCUACCAUUUAGUUGGGCACUUUAAAGAGACUGCCGGUGAUAAACCGGAGGAAGGUGAGGACGACGUCAAGUCAGCAUGCCCCUUACGCCCUGGGCUACACACGUACUACAAUGGCCGAGACAGAGGGCUGCGAACCCGCGAGGGCAAGCGAA
This 358-nucleotide ribosomal RNA is filed under the name uncultured bacterium. RNAcentral's name for it is "bacterial SSU rRNA". It matches the Rfam family "Bacterial small subunit ribosomal RNA", at positions 917 to 1271 of the family's 1533-position model. The record is from RNAcentral.